This 74-nucleotide transfer RNA is filed under the name compost metagenome. RNAcentral's name for it is "tRNA-Ala". It matches the Rfam family "tRNA". From Rfam's summary of the family: Transfer RNA (tRNA) molecules are approximately 80 nucleotides in length. Their secondary structure includes four short double-helical elements and three loops (D, anti-codon, and T loops). The record is from RNAcentral.
GGGGCUGUAGCUCAGCUGGGAGAGCGCUGCAAUCGCACUGCAGAGGCCACCGGUUCGAUCCCGGUCAGCUCCAC